UUGAACGCUGGCGGCAGGCCUAACACAUGCAAGUCGAACGGCAGCACAGAAGAGCUUGCUCUUUGGGUGGCGAGUGGCGGACGGGUGAGUAAUGUCUGGGAAACUGCCCGAUGGAGGGGGAUAACUACUGGAAACGGUAGCUAAUACCGCAUAACGUCGCGAGACCAAAGUGGGGGACCUUCGGGCCUCACACCAUCGGAUGUGCCCAGAUGGGAUUAGCUAGUAGGUGGGGUAAUGGCUCACCUAGGCGACGAUCCCUAGCUGGUCUGAGAGGAUGACCAGCCACACUGGAACUGAGACACGGUCCAGACUCCUACGGGAGGCAGCAGUGGGGAAUAUUGCACAAUGGGCGCAAGCCUGAUGCAGCCAUGCCGCGUGUAUGAAGAAGGCCUUCGGGUUGUAAAGUACUUUCAGCGGGGAGGAAGGCGGUGAGGUUAAUAACCUUGCCGAUUGACGUUACCCGCAGAAGAAGCACCGGCUAACUCCGUGCCAGCAGCCGCGGUAAUGCGGAGGGUGCAAGCGUUAAUCGGAAUUACUGGGCGUAAAGCGCACGCAGGCGGUCUGUUAAGUCAGAUGUGAAAUCCCCGGGCUUAACCUGGGAACUGCAUUUGAAACUGGCAGGCUUGAGUCUCGUAGAGGGGGGUAGAAUUUCCAGGUGUAGCGGUGAAAUGCGUAGAGAUCUGGAGGAAUACCGGUGGCGAAAGGCGGCCCCCUGGACGAAGACUGACGCUCAGGUGCGAAAGCGUGGGGAGCAAACAGGAUUAGAUACCCUGGUAGUCCACGCCGUAAACGAUGUCGACUUGGAGGUUGUGCCCUUGAGGCGUGGCUUCCGGAGCUAACGCGUUAAGUCGACCGCCUGGGGAGUACGGCCGCAAGGUUAAAACUCAAAUGAAUUGACGGGGGCCCGCACAAGCGGUGGAGCAUGUGGUUUAAUUCGAUGCAACGCGAAGAACCUUACCUGGCCUUGACAUCCAGAGAACUUAGCAGAGAUGCUUUGGUGCCUUCGGGAACUCUGAGACAGGUGCUGCAUGGCUGUCGUCAGCUCGUGUUGUGAAAUGUUGGGUUAAGUCCCGCAACGAGCGCAACCCUUAUCCUUUGUUGCCAGCGGUUCGGCCGGGAACUCAAAGGAGACUGCCGGUGAUAAACCGGAGGAAGGUGGGGAUGACGUCAAGUCAUCAUGGCCCUUACGGCCAGGGCUACACACGUGCUACAAUGGCGCAUACAAAGAGAAGCGACCUCGCGAGAGCAAGCGGACCUCAUAAAGUGCGUCGUAGUCCGGAUUGGAGUCUGCAACUCGACUCCAUGAAGUCGGAAUCGCUAGUAAUCGUAGAUCAGAAUGCUACGGUGAAUACGUUCCCGGGCCUUGUACUCACCGCC
RNAcentral lists this ribosomal RNA (1377 nucleotides) under uncultured bacterium. Its description in RNAcentral is "bacterial SSU rRNA". It matches the Rfam family "Bacterial small subunit ribosomal RNA", at positions 29 to 1394 of the family's 1533-position model. The record is from RNAcentral.